AUUUAUUAUGAAAAAGAAUAACGCAGGCCAGUAUUUGGUAACAGCUCAGCUACCACUGAAAUUUAUUCAAUCUGCUAUCUGCCUAGAUAUUCACAGUUUUCACAAAACUCAAGCUUGAGAAACGCACAUAUGUGUACAGGCAGUGUGUUUUAUUUAUUUCUCUGAUGUGAUAAGACGUGAAAAUAAAGUAGUGUCUUUUAUGUAGAUACUGAAGUUUAUGUAGAUACAGCCAUGUCUUACCUCUCCCCCUUACUACUCUGAGUUGUGCCAGAGCUAUCAGUUUUUAAAUAUGGACUGUUUUUGUUUUUUUUAAAAGACUUAUGCUCAGCUGUUCAGUACACUGGAAAUCUUCAUCUUUACAGGUUCACUGUGUAAAUAUUGAUUUUGCAUCUCUCUGUUUUACUCAUUAACUCAAACGUGAUAAUAGUUCUGUUAAACAAAAGUUUUUAAGGAAAUGAAAUACUGUACCUUCCUAAUGCUACGUGCUUUUUUUUUUUUCCUAAGGUGACCAUCUCAUUCCAGCUGCAAACUGCAGUCUGUUGUGGGGGUAUUCUGGCUUUAGAUGUGACAUGCUUUGUUUCUUGAGAAUGCCAGCCUCAAAAAUGACCACAGAUGGCUGUUUAUGACUAAGUAAAAUGUACACACAGAUUCAAUCUAGAGUCAUCAAAACUUGAUGCUGUUCUUAGAUACAUAUAUCUACUCUUGAUGUGUCUCCUGUAGCAGUUUACUCAAUUCUUCCUAUAUAACUGCAGAUAAAUGUAAGUAUUACUGUUCAUGAGAAAGCAUGAGAUUUGCAGGAGCCUUUCAGGUUCAAAUUUCUAUCUUCAGCAGGUAAAGAAAUUAGGAACAGAGAAUGAAUUAAAAGUGGUGGAAGACCCAGGCUUUUAUCCAUUGAGGUACUUUUUCAGAACAAGGCCUCAAAGCUGAAAUUCAUGGAAAACCUGUACUUUGAACCUUGGUUCCAAGUGUGGGAUUUGAUUCACAGAAUCCACAUCUGUGGCUCAGUGACCAACUGUCAUUCCUGUUCUUGUGAACCUGACUUCAGAAUUUAAGCCAGUGGAAAGCACUUCUGUAACCAGAACAAGAACAGCCUGAGGCUUAGAAGAUUACAGAUGAGGAUACUUGGCUGUGUGAAAAAUCAGCUGUACUGGUAUAUAUUUCAGCACUUCUCCAAAAGCUCAGUUUUGCAGGUUGCUGAGCACUGCUCUGCUGUCAUCAAUUCCACCUGAAACCAGUGAACCAAACAUUCAGCUUCAUGAAUCAGGGAAGCUGUUACUGCCAUGGAUACAUGCUUGAUUACUACUGGGGGGAAAAAAAAAAAGAUAUCAGAUCUGGAAAUGGCCUGAAUUCACAGAUCUGUGUAUUUUAAGUACAUAGCUCUACUCAGUAUUGUCUGGUACCAGGAAAAGUUUCUGAUUAAAUGGGAUUUUUUUUUUUUGGCUAGUAAUAAGGAAAAGAAAGUUUAUUCUUUUUCUUUUGAGAUUUUAUUUUUCAUCUUUUAAGCACUGUGUGUCUUAAUCCUUUUUAAUGCAACAGUUGCUGGCAAGAUGUUGAAAACCUCCUCUGACACAGCAAUUCUUUCACAUAUGACAGUUGACUGCAGGUCCUGCAGUGUAGCCAGAUAGCAACACGUCAGUGCCUGAGUAGGUAUUCUCUGUGUCAGGAGUUGCAGACUUGGAAAUGUUCCCUAGCAAAUCAAGAAACAGAUGGUCUUUAUUACAUUGAGUUUUCCUAAGAAACUGUGGAAAGAAACUGAGGGACAGUGACGACAGAAAUUCACGUAACUCAAUAGUAUUCUCUGCUUUUUUCGCAAAUGUGAAACAGUGAGGAAGAAAGGGGAAAUGGAAAGAUAAACAAAUAUUCUUGUGUCUGCAAUAGUCUUCCUCUUUUAGCCUCUAAGAGUUUUGCAAAGUGCUCCAGGCCAAGUAAUUUUUUCCACCCCAUGAACCCUAGAAGCUCAUCUUAAGGGAUCUCCAUUAACUACCACUACCUUGCCUAUAUGUAGAACGAUGACUCAAAUCCUAAUGUCAGAACGCUUUUCAUGCAUUAAUGAAUUUCAGAUUUGGGAGACCUAGAGACAGCCCUCUUUGAGUCACUGCUUUCUUUAAUUUGUUCCUUUCAUGCUUCUGUUUGAAGCUAUGCAUCAGAGCAUCCACUGCUUCUUUUUCUUUCCUUCCUCUACCAGGCUUUCAUGCCUUAUGCCUUCCUGUUUCAUCAUCAUUGUGAAGAAGGUAUUUCAUGAUCACCUGCAGUGCUUGCAUGACUGAUCUGCAGGCUUACUUUGGGGCAGCAAUCCUAGACUGUCCAAGUGUAUUUUCACAGAUACAGUGGUGGUAAAUUUUUAGUUUCUAUCUAGGAGUAAAUGUCCUAUUAGUCAGUCAGACCUUCAGUCUUGCAUCUUUCCCAUUGUAUUGUACUUGGACAUAAAUAGCAUUGGAUUUUCACAGCUCUUUUAUGACUUAAUGUACUGCAGUUUCUUUGGUCGCUGAAAGUGUCAACUUUACUAUGGGAAAACAAUACUUUUCUAGCCGUCUCAAUGAAGACAAAGAUAUUGUCUAUCCAUAACCAGCUUAGUAAUCCUUAAACAUUUCCCAACCCAGAUUCCUGCCAAAAUUGUAGAUAUACAAGACAUAAUAAUCAGAAGUUGCACUAAUUGUCAUUCCAAUCUCUUUUUGAAUAAUAUUACAGUUGUACAAAUAUUGAAGUUAGGAGUCUACAUUUGUUUGCACUAUUUCUGGCAAUUAAUCUUCCAAGAAGCCAAGAGGUUCAUAUGUGAGAAGUGCUGGUGGCUUACAUAACCUCAUUGUGAUGCUUUCUUUUUAAUUACACAUCUUGUGUAGAUAUAAACAAAAAUAAUUGCAGCUGAAGAUUUUAUCCACUAUUUAUUCAUUUUUCAACUUUUCAGUUGUCUUUGAUGGCAAAACAGCUGGGGAGAAAAUAGCCUCUGUGUGUAUCAUUUCAGCUAACUUUCUAUUCUUGAAAGUAGGAACUGUAUAACAAUGUUUUGAAUAAUGACCUUUGGGAUAUAGCAGUACUACACAAAUCUUACUGUCAAUAGAGCUAGUGGCAAGAAAAACAAUUGAGGGGAACACAUUAGCACUCCAAAGCGCCAUUUCACAACAAAAUAGUUACUGAGCUGACAAACGCCAGACAAGGUUUGCCUUGCUGCAGUAGAAAUGACUGCGGCUUCUUGUCCUCAUUUUUGAAACAAUAUUUACAGUUAAAUGUCUAAACCAAAUCCAUGUAAUGAAGUAGGCUUAGUGGUACAUGCUGGUUCAAGCAUUCUCAGCAUGCGUGCACCCCUGAUGUCUUUCCAGUCUUACUUUGUACUAGUCAGCAUCCAUUUCCUAUAAUGUAUUGGUGCUCAGCAUCUGAGGAAAUUAGUAGAGAUAAAAUGUAAAAUAGUGCUUUACUCCCUUUUUAAGUAGUUUGGGAAAUGGGACAGUAGCCUUUCCUACCCUUACUCUUUUUCUGUGCUCCUGCCAGCGAAAAACAGAGUUUCUAGAGCCGUUUACACAAAGCGCGUGCCAUGAGCUGUCAAGCAGACAGUUCUAUAAGAUUAUUAAUAUUGUUUAAUUGUGAAUCUUGUAAUACAAAAUAAGUUGCUUACUUUCAUUAAAAUGAUGCCUGCAGAAAUACUUGUAGGAAUCUGUGCUGAAUGUCUCCCAAGUGAGAAAAACAGAUAGUUGAAUGCCUGCUGAAAGUGACCAAAAGAGAUGCAAAAAAAGACAGGCUUUUUGAAGGCACCAAAUUACUACAGACUUUGCUGUGAACCUUCACACAAUAUGUUUGAGGGUUUUAGUCUUGUCCUAUUCAUAAACCUACCUGAACUGGUGCACCUACGCUUUGAAGUAACCACUGCAUUGAAAUACUCUGUUGUAACCUAAUAUCUAUUACAGUAAGGCUUGUUUUAGCAUCAAUAAGAUACUCAACUUAGAAUGGGAAGCAUCUUCAGCCAACCAUUAAUUAUAGUCACUGUGCAUUUCUCUUAUGCCAGUCUUGAACAGCUGCCUUAAGUACAUCUGUUAGUCGGUGUGGAGAGGUAGGAGAUUCCAGGGGGUCCCUCAUUUAUUAAAUGGAUUGAGUUUCCCUCAGUUUUAAGAGGACAGUAGCCUCCAGGUAAAUAGAGUGUUUUACACUGUACUGUCAAGACUCAAGUAACAUUUCUGUGGGAACAUAAAUAAUAAUAGCUACGUGUUUAGCAACGGUUUUAAUCUGUGAUCUUACAGACCUCCAGGCAUCUGUGGACUACUCCUAAGGGAUCAAUGAAAGAUAAUUAACAAUAGCAACCCACUGGUAAAAUUUUUUGUUAUCUAGGGAUCCAUGCAUUCAGCAGAAAAUUAUUGGGAGAUAUAUAUAUAGAAAAACAUUGAAAAAUGCAGGGAGCUGCAGCAUCUGGGACGAAUUAUGUGAGCAGUUGGAGAAACAUGCUAAAUUGUGAUGCACACAAAGAUAUUCCUUAAAUAUCUCAAAAUGAGAAGGUAUUCAGCUGACACAUCUAAUGAUCUUACCCCAUUUUGUCCUGGGAGCUCCAUUUCCUUUUUGAUUACAUUUUCACAGGACUGUGUUUCUCCUAAAAUCAUUUGUCCUAAAAUAGGUCUGUAUUUCUGAAUCAAUUUUUCAAGUCUCAUAUUUCUGAGAGAGAAAUGGGACAUUUUUAAGUGAGAUGUUGCUAUAUGACUGUCUUUAGCAUCUGAUCAUUCCUCAGGUAGAGUGAAAUCUUUCAAGUAGUUCAUUCUUUGGGUUCAUUCUAUUCACACUGGUGGCAAUGAAUACAUUGUCGUGGAUUGAUACCGACUUAGCAGCCAGCCACGUAAAGAGACAGAAACAGAGGACUGUAGCUUGUAAAAGCAACAGGCACAUUCAAACAGAUGCUGCAAGAGGAUUUGUUCUGAGGGCAUACUGUCAGGGAGGGGAUUGUUGGUUUACUUAGAUUUACUGCCCAGCAGCAGUCUGAGAGCUUUUCCCUUUUUCCUACUUGCAUAAUUACCCUGCCUGACGUUCUUAUAACUAGAGGGAGAGCUGAGAAGGACAAUUUACAGUAGAAACUUUUAUAUAUAAAAAAAACCAUGUAGCGAUGCAAGCAAUGUUUUUGAUGCAAGAGUGAUGCAAGCAAUUUCUUUGGUUGGCUGUGUGAAUCAGAAGAGUGAAGUUUGCAGUUUCAUAUGAAAGGGGUUUGUUCAGAAAAUGAAAACAUUUGCAGGAAAAUAAAAUGCUGACCCCCCCCAACAUUUAGUUUAACCUGAAGUAAAAAUUGUGCUUACGCAGCAUUUUGGUUUUUAAGCUUUCUGGUAGAAAUACAACUAGAUCUACAGAUAAAACACAACAAAUACAGCUGAUUUUUACUAAAAAACAAGUGUUAGAACAAUCAAUUUUCAACUGCCUAGCUUUCAUGCACACACAGAUGAACAAGGCUUCGUGGCCUUUGUGUUAAGUUCAGUCUGCGUGUUGCCUUGAUAGGUCCACGUGCUCAGCCCCUGCAUGCCUGGUGUUUGUAGACAGCAAGUGCUAGAUUUGAAAAUAUCUUUUUUUUUUUCUUAAUCAGAAACAUGAGAUGAUUCUGAUGAACAGCUUUCUUAGGAGGUCAGUUGGAUCAUAACUGGGAAAUCGAAAAGUUGAAUAUUGUGGACUGAACAGUACUUAGAGUACACUUUUUUAAAUAUCUGUUUAGCUGCACAGAAAUGAAUUGGAAGGCCUCCAUUUAUACCUUGAUUACUAGGUAUGUAGCUAUGCUGUUUGAGUUAUGGAAAAAGACCAGAUAGUCUUGGCUAUGGAAUAUUCUGGGGGUAUGGUAAUGUGAUAAUUACCAGAUACCAAGGAGUAGUUUUGUGGGUUUUUUGUUUUUUUUGUUUUUUUUUUUUAAUAAAACCUUAUUAUUUGUGUGAGAAAAAGCAUGUGGAGGAACUCACUGUUUGGAAUGGUUCUCCUCAAGUUGCCAGUCUCUUCCUUUAAAUGUUGAUCAGCUGCUCUGGCUGCCUCAAUGAAAUUACUUCUGGAAGUACUUGAGAUGAUUCUCUAGUUCUCUAAACCUACAAAAUGUUUGAAUAUCUGUGUUGUUACACUUCAAAGCUAGCAGGAAAAAAAAAAUACAGUCUGUCUCUGCUGCGUGAUGAUCACCAUAUAGGCAAAGACUUCCUCAUUAAGGUUCAAGAUUAAAUCAGAGCUGCCGGUUUGCAGUAAUUGCAGUAAUUACAAACUUUCAGGUGACAUCAGAAGCAUGUUAACGUUUUGAAUGAUGAAGACUACCUGUUCUUGUGCAGGUCCAGCUCUUCCAAGCCAUUUUUCACUAAAUCCUGUUUUUGGACUUCAACAGAAAAGUAAGCGGAUUUGGGAUCUAAUGCAGCGAAGUAACAUUUCUGUUCUUAGUCCUGCAUUUACACUGUAGUAUUUGCUCUCCAAGGAAGAAUAAGCACAAUCUUUUAAAAUUGUAAAUUGUCUUUAGAAAAUUAUUACUCAGUUGUCAAUAAUCAGUCAAAUUCAUGAUGUGCCUUUUUUGAUGCUUUCACUCUAAAUUUUCGUAUUAGCGCAUGGGAACCAUGAAAAAUUCUACCUGGUAACAAAAAAAAAAGGCAUAUAGAAAUAAAAAUCACAUCCAGGCUUGUAUACUUUCUGAAUACUUUCUAUUGUUCUUUCAUGGUAUUCUGAGAAAAAUUAUUCAGUAAUAGUAAGUGCUUUUGCACCAUGAGAUAAUGAGCUCAUACAAUUUUAAAGAUUUGAAAAUUAUUUGGAAGGGAUAAGGACUAAAACUUUUGAAUUCUUUCAAAGCUUUCAAAGCUGUGUAGAUCCUAAAGCUGAGCAUGGCUGAGCAUACAUCUGGUUAAAUGCGUUUGGAAUUGGAAGUGAACUGCAGAAGAUGGUUAUUCACACUUUAUUUUUUUUUUCUAAAUCAGAGCAUUAAUCUUUCACAAAUUCAACCUUGUGUAAUCAAAAAGCUAAUGUUUAUGAUAUAGUUAAGUAGUAUGUCUAGUCCUGGACUCUUAGAACCAAUAACCAUGUGUCCUGUUGACUGUUUCUAGUAGAACAAAAGUGAUGAUGGGAAUAAUAUUUUUUAGCUGAAAACAUUACAGAAUGGUUCACUGACUUGAACUUUUUUUUGAUCAUAGUCUCUUUUUUUACACCAUGGAAAGAAACUAAUUUGAAUGUAGGCAAGUUUACAUUGUUACUUUCCUACCCAAACAAAGCCUUCUGCACCUUUGCAUCAUAGACAUUCUCUUCCGUUCCCUGUACUACUAAUACUGUUUUUAUUUUAUUUUAUUUUUAUUUAUUUAUUUUGCAAUAAUGACUUUCUCUUUGUAUACCUGAUUAGGUAUUAUUCUGUCCUGAACUGAAUCUACCUUCUGUUCACGGGAGAAACAUUUGUUCUUUGUAUUCUUACAUUAUGUCAAUUUUUUAGGAAGUAUAACAGUUAUAGUCUCUAUUAGGACAUCAGAGUAUGAAUAAUUCAUGCUGGCAUGCUUUACUUUGGUGUGCAUUUGGCUCAGUAGCACAUUUUAGUGAUAGUGAUGCUGAGGCUGUAAAUUUCACUAGUAGUUCAAGAAAAGCUGUUAUAUAUGGCUUUUAGAAUUCUUACUCUCAUUCAAUUUUAUUUAACUUCUGGUUGAGUACCUCAUCUGAGAUUUCACAACUUGUCUCCUUGCUGCAUUAGUCUGGUCCUUUCAGGUGCCAUUUCAGUGAUUCCCGGGAAGCUUUGCGGUGUACGUCAGAUUCUCAUAGCAAGAAAUUGGGUUCAGUUAAGUAUGAUAUUUGAAAUAAAGUGUAAAGACCUAGAGUGUCUUUAUUUUAAAAGAUAUUCUAUAUAUGUAAAAAAUAAUAUGCUAUUAUGCUUUUCUUGUGUUCCUUGGUGUGGACCCAUUUACUUAGGGUGGACUCCUUGGUUAAGAAUUUGCUUUUGCAGCAGUGCAAAGUUAUAAUCUAUUUGAGUACUGUGAAGUGAUACUCUAGGCUGAGUGAUUUAUCCUGGUAAACAAUGUUUUAAGUGGACCAGAGGCUAGAACAGUGGAAUGAUAAAUCAGCUGAUUCACUGACAUCGUUCCUGUGGCUAACUAUUAAUACUUUUGUGUUGGUCUACAUUGACUCCACUGGCAGCUAGAGACAGUUGCACUUGCAUUGACUUUUGGUUUCACUUUCUCUUUUUGUAGUCUGAUGAGAAAUACUGAAUACUAUGUAUAAGAGAUAAGAGCUAUACCAGGAGGUUGGUGUCUUCUGUCAGAAAUACGAAAUUUAGCUGUUAAAUAGCUGUUUGAACCUCUGAUCCAUGUUUUGUCAUACUCAUUUUUCCUGCCUACUGUGCUCAAGUUGCUCAUAAUGCCUUGUGUUUCAAACAAAAUGGAAAGCUUGUCUUUUUUUUUUUUUUUAAGAAAGAUUCUGUGAGAUGUUCUGUUAGGUAGAGUUGUUGAUGGAUGUAGGAAUUUCAAUUCUAUGCUUUUUCUGAAACCUUAGAAAUUCAAUGAAAUUAAUGAUUGAAUUUUAGACAUAGCCUUUUUAAUCUUUCAUUGUUUAUCUUGACUCUUGCUGACAGUUUUUUUUCUCAUAUUUGAGGCAUUUCAUCUGCCAUCCUGCAGAAAUCUUAAUUCAUCAGUGAUGCUUUUGAAACUCAGGAGCGUUACAGUAUAGUGUAGUUAAUAAUGACACCUUUCUAUUUUGUGGAUUUAAUACCUUUAUUGUAACCACUAGUAACUUAAUUUGUCAGGCAUGUAGCAUGACAUGAAAUCCAUCUGCCUUUUCAUUUGUCCAGAAAUUAAUAUUGCCAGUUGGAUUGAUUAGGAGCAUGCUGCAGUUCUUGAUGUCAUGUGUAAGAUCCGUGCAUGAAUCUAUCUUGCAGACUUGAAUGGCGUCUUGGAAGUCAGAGGGAGACAGCCUUGAUUUAUUUUAUUUUUUUUAUUUUUUUGCUCUUCCUCUAACUAACUAGUAUAUCUAAAGCAUAUUUUAAUUUUCUUUGCAUUUCCAACUGCUAGUAUGUGGAAUUACAGGUUGGGUAUGGAAGAACAUUAACCUGACCUUAAAUUUUUACAUUUGGAUAAUGAAGGCAAUAAUUAGUUUUGUGGCAUUCACCAUCUCACAAGGUGUAGAGAGAAAGCAUUGCAUCUACAGCAAAGGCCUUAGAUUUUCCCAGCGAAGGCAAUACAUAUGCCACGAGUCACUCUGUGCUUCUGCUAUCUCCCUGAGAGCAGAGGCUGUGCUGCUGGUUCCUCUUGCCUUGCCAUGCUCCCCCUACCUCUCCAGCUGCCUACCUGUGGCUCCUGAUCCCAUACUCCAAGCAGCUGGUCAACUCCUCUUUAGGGUCCUGUGCCAGCUUGGCUGCCUGGAGACUCAUGUCUAAUUCGUCAUUUCUGUUCCUCUUUUUUUCUACAAUAUUUUUCCUCCCACAGCAAUCAAAGUCCAAAUGAUGAUCUAUAUGAACCUGUUACUGACUAACCAAUGUUGAAUAUGAAAUAAAUUCUGUAGGAGAACCAAUAUAACAGUUAGCAGGUAAUGAUUUAUUUGUUAAUUGAAUACUUAUGAAAGUAACUUUGUAUUGGCGGUAAAGUGCCAGGAAGUGGAUAAAUAUUUUUGAUAUAUAACAUGUGAUGUUUGAAGUCAGCCACAUUGGCAAAAAGUGGGACAUCUUCAUGGCACCACAAUGAUACUUUCACUUCUUGCUAUGACAGAUAGGAAAGAAAAAUUCUGAGGAGGCAAGAUAAACAGGGAAUUUUACUGCAGCAUUGUACUGCAGUAUAAUUGUGAAGAAAAAUGUUGCAAAUGCAGUGUUAACUGGUAUUAUCUUUGAGUUAGUAUUCAUGAAGUUUAUAAUUAAUUUGGAUGAGUUUUUACUGUUGCAGCUGAAUUUUAACUUUACAGCAUUUUAGCAUGCUUUUUUUCUUUGACCUAAAUCAGUCUAAUUUUUUGUCUUCAUUAAAAUCACAGAACAAAACUGCUGUUGUAUUCUAGGCUUUGCUCAAGCAGAUCAAGGAACUUUGCAUUGCUAAACAAAGCUGUGUGCUUAGUCAUAUACAGAAAUGUUAGAACUCUGCUCGAUUAAGUGAGAUGAGUGUCUAGAUGAGGGAAAUGUUAACUGCUGUGCUUAAACCUGUUUGUAAAAUGGUCCAGUGGAGAAACAAAAGAGCAAAAAAACAAACUGAACGUGUAAUCAGACAUAAUAACAUUUAAGAUUGGAGAAGAGAAAAGCAUUUCACUUGUAGAUGUAAAGGAAAUAUUAUUAGAAUUCAGUGUCUUCAGGACAGUUCUUCAUUUAUGUUGGUUAGCAUUAAUAUUUGCAUUUCUAAGGAUUAUUUAAUAUAUAUGAAAGGUAUUUUUUUGAAACUGGGAGAGCAGUUCAAAAGAGCAUGGCUGUAGUUUUGAAGAUACCAUACAAUCAGCAUAUCCUAGUCUUGUGAUUGUUUUUCUAUUUUAAACAGAAGAAGGAUACUUUUUAAAAUGCUCUAAGAAAUAACAGGACACCCUUUGUGAUGCCAUAACCCAUUCAAGACAAUUGCUCAUGAUGUUAUUAGAUUCCUUUGGGUCAUUUCUAUACAUUUUUAUCUAUUUACACUCUUUUAAGGACAUGCUUUUGAUUAAAAAUGGAGUGGAACUUUUUCCCACUGAAAUCAGAGGUCCUUGAUAUAUCAGCAGGACAUCUCUGGGGGCACUGGCAGCUGUAGAAGCUUUCACUCCUUGCGGAUGCUCCAUAACUCUAACUGAAAGAAGCUGACCUUUCAGUCUCAUGGGCAUGUCACUCAGCCCAUAAAGCUUCUCUGAGUUAACUGUGAUCCUGAAGGCCUCAUAAUACUAAACCAGGAGGAAACGCCUGCCUGCUAAGAGAGGUAGUCCCCAAUUCUUUUUGUGAGGUUAAUGAGCCAGGAUUCUAGGUGAAUGACUAAUAUCAAGAUUUGAGUGGUUUUUGUCAGCAAUGUGAAACAAAUGGGAGGAACAGUAUGAAGUAGUUUUGAAGGCUUCAGAAUAGAGCAUAUCCCAUGAACUAUGGUGCCGUUGCAAUGAUGCAGGGUGCUUGGAGAUCUUCUAGUCUCCUAAGACAUGCAUGGAAUUUUGGCUCAUGUCUUUUUUUCUUCAAGAUGCAACACUUAGAUCUUUCUGUAUAUGGGAGUUAUCAGUAACAUGUUUCAAACAUCUGUAAUAAUAAGCUCAGUGGGUUUUUUCUGUCUUCAAGACUCAAUUUUGCACCUUUUUGUGAAGUCUGGAUCUUAAUACUCUGAAUCUACAACCCACAAUCAGAUGUUUCUCCAUCAUCUACCUAUAGAAUUUUUCAGAAAUAUCUCUAGCUGCCAAGCAGCUUCUGGUUUUUGUUUGUGACCCUCUAGAAAUAAAGCUAUGGACAAAAAAUAUCACUGAAACUUUACAUUUAGUGAACAUCUGAAUGGAAAAUUGAACAAUUGCUCAUUCAGGAUCUUGCUGCAAAGAGAAGACAUUGACAAACUAGAAGUCCUGCUGUUGGUGCCUUUUCUCCUGUCUGGAUUGAUUUCUGUGGAUUGAGUUAUGGAGGUAGAGAGUUCUCUCCAUAUCCAGAAGUAUUUUCUACACAAAUUUAGUGAAGAUCUAACUCCAGACUGAACUUUCAGGUAUGAUGUGUGCAUGCACAAGACCAAAGAAAUUCCAUGAGGUGGACUUCUUUUUUUUUCUGAAGGUAGGUGAAAAGAAGGGAAGGUCUGUUCAUCCUAUUUCAAGAUUGUUUUGUCACAUCUUUAUUCCACAGUGAGGAAUGUGUUUUUGCUCAUACAGUUUUAAACUGGUGACCCAAAUAAGAAGAGGUGCAUAUCUUCUUGUGAUACCUUAGUCACCCAAACUCCUUCUCAUUGCUUUUGCUAUUUUCUUAGACAUUUUCCACCUGCCUUCCUGACAUCUCCUGGCUUUAGCCAUUUUGGAGACAUGUUGUUUUUCAGUGUGGCAGGGUUUCAAGUGUGCUAAUGAUCAUGUUGCCUGAUUUUAAAUUUGGCAGCACUAUUUCAAAAGUAAGUGUAAUGUAUUUUGUAUGUGUGUUAUGCUUUCUAUAUUUUUUUAAUUCUGAAUUGUCUGAUGGCUUUGUCAUUUUCCAGAUCUUAAAUUUUCCAUGCACAGAAAUAGAUAUUUUAGUAUCAGUUCUAAGGUCCCUGGAGGUUUUCUAGAGUUAUCUAAGUAAAGUCACAGCUGACGUUAUCUCUUGUUUGCAGUCACCCUUACAGGCUAGUCUGGAUGACCCCAGAGCUUUCUCCCACCCAUCAUUUCUACAAUUCAUUAUGUAUUAGUCAUGUAUUUUCUGUGUAUCAAAGGAGUCUUUAUCUUUGGAUGCAUUCUAUGAAUUCUUAACAAGCUUGUGACGCUGGGGGAAGUCAUUUUCUGUUGCUCAUCAGCAGGUUGAGACGCACAAAUGAUGCAUACUCCUGUUUGUGGCAGAGAAUGCCUUGUUGACGUCUCAUGUACUGUUAGUAAAAGUCUGAGUCCUUCUGUUGCUGGUGUAUCUUUCCCUCUGGGGAGAAGCCUUCCAUCUCACUGUGAUGGAGGAUACCUGAGCAAUUGUACCUUCAGAUUAUCUUUAGUGGUUGUCUGAAAAUCAUCACUUUUGGCACACAGGUCUGUGAAGGCAAGCUUUGAUCAGGUAGAUAAAUAGCAGAGAGGAAGAAGUUAUGCUGCUGGAAAGCAGUUGGAAUCACUGGACAGUAUGUGCAGCACUUAACUCACUGAGGUUUCUCUUAUUUUAUGCUGGUUGCAAUAUUGUCAAAGCAGCACAGUUAUUUGAGACUGGUGGAUAUGACCUGGACUCUUGCUGUUUGGUUAUGAAGAAGUCAGUAGAACUGCAGAUGCGCUGUAUGUAGUGCUUUAUUUGUUGAGCUGAGGUGUGCUGUGACAUUGGAGCUGCCUUUGACAGACCCUGUAACCACACACUUUCACAGGAUAAGAGUUAAAUAAAUUAGCAGUAGAUAAUGGGAACAUGGGCAUCAACUGGGGAAUUGCAAAGGCUGUUUUAUGAGCUGAGGAUAAAAGAUGAAUAAAAUUUGAAAUGUAUUUUAGCUAAGUGAGAGACAGAUGGAAGAAAUAUACAAAUUUUGGGAGUGUGAAGGCUCACCCUGGAAAAUGCAGUUCUGUUGAAAUCAAAAUACUUCAUAAAACCAAGUCAACUGCAGUAGACUUCUGCUUCAAAAAACAAAAGAAAUAAGACUGCCAGACAGAGCAUGUUUUAAUGCUUUGAAAUACUUUUUUUAAUCUUUGUUUUGAAAUGAUUCCUUCAAUUCAUUUUUAUCUAUUCUGAUUUCUGUAGAAAUAAAUGUAAACAGAAAAUAAACAGAAGAGCCAUGGAAUUUCCCUUCCAAGAUUAUCUGAGGUGUUUCAGUUCUGCUCUAAAUUGGAGCAAAGCCAGAGUAUAAAAUCCUUGGAAAUUGAUAUCAUCCAUUCAGUUCCCAGGGGGCCCUAGUAGGACACGUGUUCAGAAUUGGACUUCAGCUACUAUCUCUUGAGAUGCAGAAGCACCGACUGCCAGUAGCCAUACUGCAGCUCAUUUGCUUUGCUCUCCAGAUUGCAAAGGACUGAAUGUGCAAGUGGUUUUGACAUCUUGCUGUGCCUGAUGUCCAGCCUCAGUGGUGCUGCUUCUACUGUCACACUGCACUGAGAAGUAGCAGCCUUACUCUUUGUCUGUACGUGUGCUGCACCUCAUGUCUUUCAGGAUCAAAACAAUUGCAGGGGGAAAUCUUGAAUUGACACCUUCUGGAGAUGGUGUAAGAGAUUUAGUGAAGCUGAUCUUUGUCUUCCUUUUUCUGAUAUGUCUUACAGGGAACAGCUCAGUUCUGCAAUGGGCAACUCACUAAUUGUUUUAUGCCGUUCAGAGAUUUUCUGGUGUUUUUACAUACAGGCUUCUGUGAUACAGUUUGAUGUUUGAGUGCGUGAGGUGUCCUUUGGUGCUGAAGAAGUUACUACUCUUGUAGGAAUUCAUGCAAAAUGUUUCUUGGAAAUAUGGUUGCUGUCACUAUGUACUGCACACUGUCCUUUUGGUAGACUUUUUUUUUGCUAGAUUUAUAGUAGGUUUGUUUCUUAACAGACAGAUUGUCCUUCAGUAUGUCUUCUAGUUAGGAUAUUUAAAGAAAUAUGUAGAUAGAACCUCAUCAGAAAGUGAAACAGUUGAACAAUCUUUUGAAAUGAGCAUCAAAACUUGAGAAUAAAAGCUUGUAGCUUUCAUUCUGGUUCUUGCAAAGUGACCUUUGAAUUCACCAUGUAGGAGAAACUGUAUGUUGUGGAUUUUUUUUGUCCACUUUGCUGCAGUGCUGCUGUCACUAUUGUGAAAUGUGUGUUCAGACCUUUUUCUUUCAGGCCUGCAUGUCAGUCCCACAGUGAAUAAUUGCCUGCAUAUGGUAGCAUGGGAAGAAGACAUGAUUUAAACAUUUGCAAGGAACAUUCUGGUUUGCAGAGCUUCAGCAAAUAGCUACUUUGUGUGUUUUUUCAAACCAGCCUAUGAGUUUGUUGUCUUCAGACAUUGUAACCUUUAAGCUAGUAAAUAGAAAUUACUGGGUAAUGUGAAGAUAUCAUAUGGUAUUUUCAAGUGCUAUUCAAGAGCAUUGUAUGCAUUCAAGAGUAAUGGACAAUUUGUUCUUGUAAUUAGAGGAACUGGGUACUCCAGUUACCACCUACCUUUUCAGUACAUGCCUCACUAGGAAUUGGAUCUCAAUUUGUCUCUGCCAAAUUUUGUUUCAUUCCCUGUGAAACCAACUUAGUUGUGUGCUAGAGGUAAUGCCACUCUCAUCUGCAUGACAGUUGGGUGACAGGAGCAGAUUGAGAGAGGGUGCCCAGAAAAUUUUUGAAUUUCUUCUGCUGUGUGAAAUGGAGGUCAAUGAGUUUCAUCUUUUUAAGGUAUUAUCCAGCAAAAACUUAUAAAGUUGUGUUUUGUGCCACUUAUACAAGGAUUCACCAUGUACAGCUGUGUACUGUACCACUUUUGCUGGGAUUCACCGUUUCAAAUAAGUCUUCUUAUCACAAAACAUAAAAGGGAAUCUUGCAUUAUUUGGGUUAAAUGUUUUGAGAAGAUGGAAGUGCUUUUAAAAUUCAAAUAAAUUACUUGGAGAUGGGGGAGCAAAAUAAAGAGUUAGCAUUUUUAUACGCAUGGAGGGAGUCUACUUAAAGGCUAUUGCAUCUUUAACAGCUAAUGAGCACUUAGCACUUACCACUUAACGUGGCAAUUUGCAAAAGUUACGAAGGCAUUGCACUCAAAGUCACAAUUAGUACUAAAACUGUAAAUAGCACAAAAUCUGGAGCUGUAUUCAAAAUGAGACAUAACUCGAGGGAAAAAAUAUAUAUAUUUUAAAUACAACCAAGGUUCAGCUGGAUAUGAAAGAAAAAGCAUUAUGUACAGAAAGUGACUAAUUUACGCAAUAUCUCUUGAGUGGAUUGCCUGCAUGCAUCAUACAAGCUACAUUUUGUCAAACUUCCUCUUUUGGUUCAUGACAAAGAGUUUUUCUAAUAGUAAAUGAGAAGGAGGAGCCAGAAACCUAUGUCAUUCUGAGGAGAAAGGUUAUGAACUCAGCUUCACUUACAAAAGAGACUGGUAUAAUACCAAGAUGAAGGCCAUUAAAGUUUAUUAGAUUUGUCUAAUAAUAUCAGCCAGAAAUAGUUCAAAACAUAUAUGGAUUAUUUAUGAUAUAUCUAAAAUCUGAAGUUAGUUUGCUUUCAAAUCCCCCUAGUGAGAAGUAGUCCUUUAUGAUGAUUUCAUAGAGCUUGCCAUUAGAUGGCUAGACUGAUUGUAUUUCAAAGCACUUGAGAUAUUUAUUUCAUACAGCAGCAGGAAGCAGAGUGUGUUCUUGUGACACUUCUGCACUCAUGAAAAAAAGUUUUGUUUUUCAAUAUGUAAAUUUUGAAUUUGCAAAAUAUAUGUAGAAGAGCUGUAAUAAGAACCUAGAACAUCCAGUUCAAUGCUUAGUUCAUAGAAAUGCGGGCUAGCCUAUCUAAAGCAGAUUAGCAUGAAUGUCUGUCUGGGCUGGCCACAGACCCAGUGUUUAUCUCUCUUGGGAACAAGGCCUAGAGCUGCUGGGAGCUAUGCAGAAAUAGUCUCUGUUGGUCUUCUGGUCCUGAUUUUAAAAUCCUUCUCAGAACAAGCUCAGGUUAUUCAAGGUAACUUGCUUUCUGAAUGGUUAUAGCCUUUCCUCAAGACAUAUUCUGUAAAUCCAUCAUACAAGUAGGCCGAGGCCGCAUUUUCUUUUCUGCGUGUAGGUUUCAAGUACUGCUCACAAUUGCUCAGGGUGCCUGGCUUUCAGGCAGAUGCUUACUCAGGUGUAAUCUUGCUGCAGGCACACAAACAUCAUUGGAAGAUAGAGUGUGGGGGUGGAGAUAAAUAUUUGAUUUAGAUGUUCUCAAACAUUUCAGAAAGCAAUUACAUCACGGCAUUUUGACCAGGUAGGGACACAGAAAAACACGUACUGUCUUGGCAAUUGAAGAAUUUCAUUUUUGCACCUAUAUGUCCUGCAUCUUUUGCUGAUAUUUUCCAUGAGUCACUUAAUUGCUGCCUCACACAAGCCUUUGUAGUGCAAGCUGGAGCAGUGCAGCAAUCCUGAAGUCCAUGGUAAGCAAAGAGAGCAUGCUGAGAGGUUAUAGUAGUCCAGAUAAUGACUGGUCUCCUAAAACCCUUGGCAUGCCCCCUGAGUCUGUCAGGGAUUCCUUCAGCAUUUUGCUUCUCUUUAGCACCCUUAGACAAAUCAGCCAUUGUACUCAGUAAGAAGGAUUCAUUGGGCCUUUCUGAAGACCAGGCAGUCUUUCACUGCUGUUUUUGUGCUACAGAAGUCCUAAAAGAAAUGUUCAAAAUGUGUUGAUUCAGUUUUUUCUUUUUUUCCUUGAAAACAUCCAGAAAGUUUUUAUUUGUUUAAGUAUAUUUAUCUAGAUAAUCAAAUGGGCAGAAACCCAGCUUUCUGUCAGGGACAUUUGCAGUUCAGUGGCCCAUCCAGGAAGAAAGUAGGAGAGUAUGAUGACAGGUUUACUGGAAUGUGUGCCUUCAAAUUGCAAGUGACACAGUUAUUCACAUGGUGCUUCCAGAGAGUCUAUCCUGUAGUACCAUCUUUUUUGGUGCUUGUAACCUAAGCUACAGAUAAACUACUUGUCUUUUGUGUGGCAAGGACAGAGACUGUAAUGGGGGAUUAGAUAUCUUGUGCUGCUUUUAACGUUUAAAUAUCACAGUAAAAGUAAUAUAUCUUGCUGAUUUUUGCGUAAAUUUGAAUAUCCUACUUUAUUUACAUUCAGUGGUGCCCACAAAUCAGUGCUAUUCAAUUGAUGGGUUGACAGGACUAUGAUUCUCUGAAUUAAGAUGAGUCAUUAUUGGAUGGAGAGUCAGCAGUCUUUAUGGAAAGAGUAAUUUUUUUGUUCUCAAAUUCAAUUAAUAAAGACAAUAUUGAAUUAAUUAAAGGACAGACAUACUGUUCCUUGAAUAGGAUGGAAUUUAGUUCUUAUUUCACUUUUUUGUAUUUAUGAAGCAAAGAAUUUGCCAGAAUAUCAGGUUGAAGUUUUACCUGAUGUGCUUAAGGCAGUAGCAGGUUAGAUUGUUUUUAGUAACAGUUGGAUGAGAUUUAUUUGUGUUCUGAGUAUCAGACUCUCUAGCUGUUGAGCUACUGGUUUGAAUUUUUUUAAAGAUUCUUUUGUAGAUGGGAGUGUUACUGAUACAACUUGUCAAUUCUAAUACAACUAGACACAAAAAAACAAGUAGGGAAUUCAAACAGUUGCUUUAACAAUAAACACUUCCAAAAGAAUAAUGCAUAGAUGAGUUGUAAUUGUAUUUAAAAAAAAAAAAAAUCAUGAAAUGUAAAUGAAAUGCAUCCAACAUCUGGGAAGGAAAAACGCUGCCUUAUGUAACAAAAAGACUCAUAAAAACAGACAAUUAUUUGAGAUCCUUGAACUUACUUUUGCUUUACAAAGAGAUGACCGUUCUUCACAGAAGAACAGGAGUUCUUGUAGUUCUGUUUAUGAAAGUCUCAACUUUGGAAACUGUACAUAAUUGGAAGCCUGUGCCACCAAGUAUAGAUGUGAUGUGCACAUAUUUUAUUAAAAUGCAGUGGUUUACUCAUGUCUUGUUUUUAUUAUUUGCUUAUUUCAGCUUGUAUCAUUUAUACAGUCUACACAAUAGUUGUUUGUAAGGAGCAUUGUAGAGUACUGAUGACUUUAUAUGUAGUCUAGAUGAAGAGGACUACAAAAUGACGAGAUAGAGAAUGAGAUAACAUAGUAAACCUGACCUAUUGUUUAUCAUCAGUUUGGAGAGGUGUUUUUUUCAACUGUGGUCAGCUAAGUUUGUUGUCUUCUAACUUAUAUCCUUCAUUUUUUAAACUGAUGACUUUUUGUACAAACCAAAGGGCUGAAUCAGUCCUACCUUAAUUUUUAUCACUUUCUGCACAUGUUUCUGUUGCUGUUACAGUAAAUCUCUGCCCUUGUGAUCUGUCAUGCUAGAGGUUAUCUUUUCUAGCUUCUGGGAUUUCAAAGCUUGUUGUUGUCUUCAUUCAUGAUUCAGAGGAUGGUGGAGCUUGAGGCAGUGAACAGAGCUCUUUCAUAACCGGCCAUCUGUGAUGAAUUGCUGAGAAGGGAGAUGCACACAAUCUACUACCAUCAUGGGUGGAUAAAUACAAGUAAUGGUGAAUAGGGAUUACACAGUCAAUUUUUUUUUUUUUUUUGGCCUGACCUGUGCAAUAGGGCUGCUUUUGUUGUUACUGAAGAAUCCUCAGAGAAAGAUAUUUCCCUGGCUGACAUGCCCUGUUCUUCAUUUCCAGGCAGCUUUGCAACUGUUUCCAAGCUGGUGAGUCCCCAUGGAGUAUAGUUCAUUUGCUCUCCUGUUCCUUUGAAAAUAGGGACCCUAAAUCUGUAUUGCCUAAACAAAUACACUUGUUUGUAAGAAGCAUUUCUAAAUGCAAUCAUUGCUGCAUUCUGCAGCUACAGUAGUGAUGAGGUUUAAUUGUCCUUCUUAUUUUAAGAGCCUUUUGGAAAUCUGAAAUUGAGUUCUUUCUUUUUAAGGCAAACUCCUGAAUCUCUUGUUUAAAAAAAAAAAAAAAAAAAGCAGUUUGCAUUGAAGUAAUUCUUGAGGGGGGAAAAAACAACAAAAACCCAACACUUUUAAAGACCUUCCAAUACAUCUUUCUGCAAAGGAACUUUUUUUUCAUGUUAUCUUAUUCUCAGGUACUUGUAGAUCAGUUGCACUUAUGCUUUAUGUAUUCUGAUAGAAAAAAAUUUAAAAAGGCAUGUUAAAAACUUUUUUUCUUCCUCGCUGUGUAUUUGGCUACUUAUCAUCAACAUUUUCUAAUCAGUGUGCUAUUUUCUAACUAGUUGAUGUACACCAGUUUGUAGAAGUGGAAAGGAUGGCCUCAUGCAGUAUCCAUCUGAGUUAGCUAGUACCUUUCUUGUUAGGUUUAGAACAGUCAUCCUGGGAUUGCUUUGAAUUUUCAACAACCAUUUCCUUUGUAUUCCAAACAUAGCUGUGAUGCUCACUCACAUGAAAAAGAUGUUUUGAUCAGUCUGGCUCCACUCACAGGUGGAGCAUAAAGGUAGCUCUAGAAGCAGAUCAGGGAUUCUUUCAGGACAGUCUCUUCAGGUUGGAUCAUUAUAGUAGUUCUGCUCCUACAGUGAAAAUCUUGAUCCUGUCUAAAAGUUUUGUUUCUUCUAAUCAUCCUGGGAUGAUGCAGUCAGAACUGUUCUUGAUUAAUGCUGCUGGCUUGCCACUGAGGCUUAUAGUAAACAUUUUUCUCCCCAGGUCUGUAGGCUUUUGUAGUGAAUUAAAGUGAUCUGAACUUCCUCUCAGUGAAUGCCCACCAAUAUCUUCCUUUCACAGAUGUACUUAGCAGAAAGCAAUACAACAUAGCUAAUAAGACCACAUGGUGCUACCUUGUCCACUGAGAACAACUGCUUGUUGCCAUCAAGGCACGGCUUUACUUUAACUGCAAGCUUUGAAUAUUAGAGAUAGUAAGCAUAAUGGUAUUAGAGCCUUUUUUUAUAUCUGUGAGAUCUUGUGUAUACACUACUGAAUACUGAUGGCUGCAGUUGUCAUGCUGUUUUACAUAAAUUUUAAAACUGCAUAUGAUGCUAAAUAUAAACUAUUUGGAGGUUCACAAAUGUAGCCCUGUAAGAAUAUGACGGUACUUCUCAUGUCUGUGAAGGCUGGAUUAUUUCUUUGACAUUUCUUUUCAGCUGACAGAUUCAGACAUUUCCCAGUUGAAUUUGAGAGGGCUGAUGCACAUCACUUAGUCUAAAUGUGUAAUAUAAGUUACUGUAAAGCUAUUUGCUCUGAAGGCUUCAGACUUCAUAGGAUAUACACAAAUAACUGUACAGAACCUGAAUCCACUCUCUAAGUUAAGCUGUAUGCUUCUGUGCAUCUGGCUAUAUAUGUAGUGCAAAAGUUCUAUACUUAUGAACCAUUCCCUAACAUUCCUGUGGUGCACAUUUGAUAUGAGACUACUGCUCAUGCCUUGAUAGGCAGUGACUCAACUGAGAGACUUCUGUUCAUUUCUACGGACUUUUGCUCGGGCAGGAGCUGUCUGGACUUUUCCUCAUAGUGGUGGUAGACAUCUCAUAAUUUGAGAACAAGAUCAGGUCUUACAGGAUGUUAUACAGUAUCUGAGGGACUGUUAAAGUAUGCAGAGUAGAACUGAUUGGAUAUUAUCCUGAAUACAGCAAAGGAAAAAAAAAGUGUUGCAUUGAAUUCACAGUAAUAAAGGAGAUGUUAUGUUAGUAGGCAAAUAUAUUGGAGAAAAGGAUUUUAUAAACAGGUAAAUCCUCCAGAGAAAUUGUUUCAUGAGGAAAAAAACAGUGCUGGAAAACCUGAAGAAUCUAAGAAGGGUGAUGACAGAAAGGAAAGCCUUUUUUCCUUCUUUUCCCCAUUUAUUCUUACUAGAGAGAGACACUGAAUUAUAUGCCUCUUGACACUUUCAGGAAUUGUCUUACUGACCAAAUGGCCUACAGAAAGCUUUACUAGUAAAAGAAACUGAUCAAUAGGAUGAGAUAUUAAAAAGGGAAAAUGUCCCCUGCAUGCUUUGAGCAGCACUGUCAACUCUAUUGAAUUUAUGAUCUAAAGGAAAUUAAACACCGACAGCAUCACCGGUAAAGAUAAGCAUAUAUUGUUUAGGGUUAUUGAUUUGCCCAAGUUUUAAAAUCAAGCUAUGUUUACAUUAGUAUCUCAUAUCUUUAUCUAGUGACUCUUGGUAAGUAACUAUAGAUAAUGAUGGCAAACAAAAAUUGCUUUUAUAAAUUACAGUUGUGCUUGUUACAUUUUAAGCUCUGGAUUUGCGAAUGUUUUGCCUACUCUCCUGGCAGAGCUCAUUACGCGUGUGUGGUAUUUUGUUUGGAUAACAUAAUUGUAUCAUCCAUUUAUGCACGUGUUUACAGAGUUCUAGAAAGGAAAUUAGAAAUGCUGGAGCAGUUUUCUGUCCAGCAGAUUGGGAACUAGGUGCCUAUGGUAGACUCUACAUUCAUAAUUAAGCAUCUAGAUUCAUGGAACUAUUUACAAAGAUGACAGAUUCCCGAGAGUUCUUUUAUUUGUUGUAGGUAUACUGAUCUUAAAAUGAGGCACCAAAUCAUGGUCUCUGCAGCUCAAAUAGGUCAUUUUUCUUAACUUUUCAGCUUCCCUAGAGUUGCAGAUUCUUUCGAGCUUGAGGCAUAACCGCAUUGACUGAGACUUUUUGGUUUGCUUCUGUUUUAAAUCAUGUAGUAGGAAAAGGCUGGUGGCAGAUCAGUAUCCUUUCCUUUCAGUGAUAUCAAAGACCAUUUGCCUUUUGGGAGUUAUCUCACUGGCAUGUUGGAGGGAGGCUCAAAGAUCACAAGGGCUAGAAGUCCUUUACAGAAGCUGUCCCACAAGACUGGUGGUGAUCAGCAGGAAUUGUGUUGCAAGGAAAGUGAUGUUCUAAUAUAUAUACAAAAAGAAGAGCGUUACUGCUGUCUACAUGCGGGUUAUUUCUGUGGUGAUUGUAAAGAAACUCCACACAAAAUGCUAUGAAUCUUCUGGACGAGUCUGUAGAGGAAUGUUAUUUAUCAAUCUAAACUGAAGUUAAUAUAGAAAUUCUCCAGCAUGGCUGUCACAUUUACUGUAGAUAUUGUUAACACACUGCUGUCUUUAUGCUAUUUAUAUGAAAAUGGAGGAGGGAAACAUCAAGUUUUUGGAUUUUUUUUUUUGCUUUUUUUUUUUUAAAUGAGGAACCAGGGAAAGCAAAAGUCAUUUUCUGAAAACUGCAAGAUGCAUCUGCUGAGCAAAGAACAUCUCUUUUGAGAUGCAGACUGAUGACACACAUCUCUUCUCCUUUCCUUUGUUUGAAGUCCUCUAUUGAGGUCCUGGUCAGACAUAACUUUUCCUUACUUUUGCGAAAGGAAAAGAUUAAAGUCUGUGUUGGGUUAGUAUGUUUCCUUGGUGCUGAUUUUUUUCUUUUUUUUUUUUAAUCUGUAUUGCUUGAAGCAUCUUGAGCUGACACAACAGAAGGAAGAAGAAAAUCCAGGUCAAUUGUAUAGUAUCACAGAGCUUGUCAAGAGGAAAGAAAAAACCAAAAUCAUAAACACAGUGUAUGAAUACGUUUUCCUUAGAAACUAUAACAGAAAAUAAGAAUUUAAGAAUCUUUUUUUUCCUUUUGCCCCUUUUUAUCAGAGGCAUUUGCUGGCUUUAUCAGUAUUUUACAAACAAAAUUACAAGCAUCCAAAUAAGAAUACAGAUCAAAUGUAGUCAGUACAGAGUGGAAAAGGAGAGUAAGUAGACCUUCCUUUUGUCUGCUUCUCCCCCUCCCGCCGCUGCCAUGCUUUCAAAUACCCAUCAGUUAAAGUUUUGGCUAACAAAAUAAGUCAGAGAUAAGAUUAAGUAGGAAAAAGCAUUCUUCAUUCCUGCCUUGAAGGGUGGUGAAGGCUUGUUAUGAAAGGUGAAUGCCAUCACUGUAAUGCAGGUGCAAGCAUCUUUGUAGCUCUUUCCUGCUAAUAGAUAGUAGCUGUGGUAGCCCUGCCAACCCUCUAUUUGCAUGCUGCAGUCUUCAAGGAAAGGCAUUCUGUCUGGAAAAUGUAGGUUGUUGAAGAGAAGUCUAAUUUUCAUGUUUCUAGUGGCUGCUUGCUAUAGUAGCACCUAAUCAUUGGAAAGAUAAGUCUUGGAUGGCCAGGGUAUGAAACGUACUAGUGAUGGAGAAAAUUGAUAUCCUACACAUGAAUGCAUCACAAAAGGGAUUUCUGAAAAUAUUCAGACAAAGAAGGUUUUCUGGAAAAUCAGAGUCAGAUAUUCAGAUAGAUUGGUGAUCACUGAGUUUGCACAGUAUAGGAAUAUAGAAGAUGAACCUCUAAAAAUUUACUGGUUUGCAACUGUUUAGUUGCGAACAGUCAAAUUGUAAGGCUUUUAAGUACAUAAAGGAACAGAGAAAAACAGCUAAAGAUGUUUGUGAAAGGCUUUAUCUUCUAUUAGUUGAUGCCCCAGGUGGUCCCUAGUUUUAAAUUCUUGUUGUGUUUUUAUUAUUUGUGUACCAUAUCAUAGCAUUUGAAGUGUGUUAAUAGAAUUAGUUCUUAGCAAAAUUCUCCCAAAACACUAGCCCUUUUUAAAAAAAAAAAAAAAGAGUAUAGGCUUUUUCUGUUCAUUUUGCUUUUAUCUUGAAGACAGCAUAUGGGUAAUCAUAACAUAGUUUUAGCAAACACUAGAAUCUGUUUAUAGAAUUCAUUCAGUACUAGCAACUUGAGGGUUUAUGCUUUUCUGUGUCAUGAUUGUGGUCUACUAAAUUUCCAGGAAAUAUAAGAACAUAAUUCAGGUUCUUUUUGAGUGUGUUCUACUGAUAUGUCCCAUCCAUGGUCUGCAAGCAUUUUACCUACUGUUUCUAUUGACAAAACAAUUUGGUUUGGAUCAUGGCUAAAGUAUCAAUAGUAGCAGACCAUAUGUGUUACGUGCCACACAAAAAAGUUGGUUUAUUCAUCAGCUGGAAGGUGUUAGAAGAUCCAGCAGACCGUUUUAUCUGGUUAUUGCUUGGUCUUUUGCCUUGCACUUUUUCAUAGGUCAGAGUCUCUAAAUGAUUAUUUACUGUUGAUUUUUGUUGUUGUUUGUUUCUAAACUAAAUAUUAUCUUUAUAUCUUAUAUAUAAAUAUAUAUAUAUAAAUAUAAUCUUUAUACUUUUUUCUCCUUUUUUUAUUUCAUUUUUUCCCCUUCUUCCUAAAUGCUUUUUUUAAUAUAUUUUGGAAGUAAGCAAGCAUUUGUUCAGGAACUAUGUUAACCUAAUAGCAAUGCUGUAUACUCCACUUUUUUACUACAUUCUGACGCACGGAGCUCUGUUAGCUUAAACCACAUUAUGAAAUAAUGUUAGUAGAUCAAAAAGACUUAAUUUAGCCUAAGAUAAUUGUUGCAAUUUCACUUAAAGCUAUGUCAAAAAAGGGAAGUAAUUUGUUACUGUUGUUAUCUUUUAGAUAAUGUGAUCCCGUGCUCAACAUUUAAGACAGAGAACUCAAUUUAUGAAACUGUUUUCUGUUAAAAUGUUUAAUAAUUAGAAAAAUGAUACUCAUUCCCUUGGGAUGUCAGUAACAUCUGAUUUAGCAUCUAUUAUGAGAAUUUAGAGCAUUCAGAUUUCAAAGCAGCUGUUCCAAGAUUUCUGCAAAUUCAAAUGGUCAUCACUUGGCUGGCAUAGAGGGGGUAUGAUUUAAAAUGUAUUUAAUUUUCUUUAUACCAUGCAACAAGAAGACCUAUCUGUGCUCCAGCUAGUCUUUCACCUACUUGCCCCCAUAAUGGUCUGGAGUGUUUUUUCUUCCUGGAACAAGCUGAACAAGGCCUUGUCAUAAACUGUAUUUCAAUAUGAGGUUAAGAAGGAAAGUAAUUUAAUAUUCCUAAGAAAAGUUGUAAGAUGGGUAGAUAAAAUGAAAAGCCAGUAAAAAAAUUUACAGAGAUAGCCUGGGCCUUAGAUGCAUAUUCUACUAGAUUGAUGCUGAUUUAGGAGGCAUUCCUACUUAUUUUGCUAUAUUUGGAAGAGAUCCACAAAAUUACCAAGGGACAGCAAUCUGAUUCUGAAUUAGACGUGUCCAGUAAGAUAACACCCAAAUGUAUCACAAGCAAGAUUAGCUAACAUUACUCUUUGUGACAUGCAGUGGAACAGAUUCUCUGACUCAAUGUGUUAUCUUGUAAAAGAAACAUUGAGAAUAAUGACAGAUAAUAUUGUCUGUCCUGAAAUUCAAAAGCUUGUUUUCUAACAGUGUAAAGGCUGAAUACUGAAUACUCUCUUUGUUGUAUGCAUUGAAGAGCAGAAGUUAAGGGAAGUAAGGAAAUACAACAGAGUCAAAAAAGCUACCUUCAGAGGUUUCCUUCGUGGCCAGUGACCGGAGAGCUAUGAUAAAAGAUCCUCUUUUGAGUUCAGUAUCCAACCAGAAAAUUUCAAAGAAAAAGCACACUAGCUCAGACAGAAAUACUUUGUCUCUGUUCUUUUUACAACCCAACGUUGGCAUAAUAGGAAGAAGAAAAUAACAUCAUUGUAAUUAAAUAUGUUGUUGUUUUUUUAAUUUAACUGAAUCAAACUAGAUUUUAUAAACACAUUCAGUUCAUGCCGAACAUCUUAUUGUGUCUGUUAUUUUUCCUCAUUAUUUCUGUGCUACCAUUUCCCUGUCUGUAGCUUCUGUAAAGGUUCUACAUUCUGUUUGUUCUCCCACCUUACUGUUGAAAACACUGGUGCUUUAAGUCCUGUAAAUCAAUACAGUAUCGCUAUGCUUCACCAUUUUUUUCUUUGAUGCUCAUUGUAACUUCAGCUUUCUUUAGAUAUUUACCCAGCUCUAUUACAAAAUUAAAAAAAAAAAAAGGCUUGAAAAACUAAUUCCAUGUGUAUUACCAAAAUGACUACAAAAGUAUCCGAUAUUUUUAAUGCUUUUUGAAGUCUAGAAUUUCUUUUAGUUUGAGAAAUCUUCUCUUUCUGUUUGCUACUUUGGAAGUGUUACUUAAUGUCAAAGUGAAUGCAUGUGAAUGGUUGUGAUGUGGCUCCUGUAUCUAGAAACUCCAAGGUUCAUGGCAUUCUUGUUUUGUGUUGUGGCUUACUUGUGCUGUGUAGUUGUAGCAGUACUUUGGUGAGGCAUAUAGUCCAGGAAAACAGCCAGAAGUGUUUUCAGAAACUGGAUUCAUAGGAAUAAUCUCUUCUUCUGUCCAAUCACUAUUUUCCGUAGCAACUCUUGGAAGAGAGCAAAGCUAUGGAAGAGUGGAAGUCUGUCUCUGUCUCUGUCUCUCCCUCUCCCCUCUCUUUCUCUCUCUUCCUCUCACUUUGGGAGAAAAAGAAUUAGGACAGGGUGUUUCAUGCUGCUUCAGUUACACUGCCCUGUGCUUCUGGGUCAUCCAAAGACUGGAACCUUAGACGGGUGCCUUGUGCAGUGCUUUGAAGAAGUGUCAGUAUCUCCAGUAGCUAUGGGAGAGAGUAGCUGUCUUAAGCCUGGGUGUGUUGAUAGCAUUCUUCUCCUCUCCUUCCUUUGUUCUUCUCCCCCAUUCCUUGAGUGGUGCCUUGAACAUGCGUGGUGAUCCAGGUGAUGUGAUGAAUUACUGUAGCCACCUCACCUGUUCUGAUAUUACCAGUUCAUCUGCAUCACCCCUAAUCUGUGCAUUUAAGACUUUGGAGUUGCUCCGAAUCACCGGUAUUAUUGUCAGAAUAGCAAGUAAUCCAUUGAUGUGCUGUUCCUUUUCAUUUACACUGCUGCUGCAUUCACGUUCAGCACCUGCCCCAGCACACCCCUUGAAGGUGACCUCCUGUCCUGAGGCAGGGUGGGUUAUGCUGGCAGCACACACGCACAGCCUAAGAGCUGCUGCACAGCUGCUUGGAAACACUGUGCUUCCUGAGCCAGUCUGCAUCUUUCUGUUCUGCUCCUGUGCUCCACCUCAUUUGUUUUUGACUGCCAGUACCUUUCCAGAAAUUCCCCUUUAGGGGAUUUGCUGUUUAGAUGGGAAACUCUUUGCAUUAAAUAUCUUUACCAUGUUGUAUCGUUGGUUUUUAAGCAGAACUUUCCAUUGUUCUCACUAGGGAGUCUGUUUUCAAAAUGAAUGGUAUAAUUUGGCUCUUCAGCAGUAAGGUUUGUUCAAACAAGAGCAAUCUUGGUUAUAGACACAGGAAUGCUUCCAAGCUGAAGGAAUCAAUGUGAUUUCUAUUUUAAACCUGACUUUGAAUUGCCUUCCUGGCCAUCUCGAAUUAAAAGUUUCAGCUCCGUAUUUCCUAUUGCAUGCCUAACACUUUUCAGUGUAUGUGGGACAAGGUAGCACUAAAAUGCGGAAGCAUGGAAAAAGGAGACAGUGUUUUCUUUCUUGGAGCAACUGCAGUGUUCACUCGGAGAAAAGAGCAGGAUCAGGGAGGUGGUGGUGUCUUUGUAUUUGGCACUGGUGAGACUGCAUUUUGAGUGCUGUGUUCAGUUUUGGGCCCCUCGCUACAAGAAAGUCAUUACUACCCUGGUAUCAUUAUGUGGCUGUAUCAUUAUGAAAGCAGACACUCAGGAGGCACGGAAAGCAAAAGCUUUGCUAUGCGUGUUGGUUCUCAGGCCAAACAGAGUUAAGUGCUUUAAUAGGCAUACGUACUUGCAAAGGAACUAAACAUAAAGAGAUAACUUUGUGCACAAAUCUGUGUAAAACUAAGUACUUCCAAGGGAAUGUGUGUGAUCCAGUGCAGUUCUUGAGAGAAUGGUAUGACUUACAGGAGUGUACAGCUGAAGCAGGGAACAAUUUUGCAGUGUUAUAUCAGCCCCAGCUCUUUAUCAGGCUAUCUUUCAUAGAUGUGCAGAUCCAGUAGAGAAAGACAUCAUUAGUGGCUGUAAUUGCUUUCUGUGCUCGAGGAGAGCAUUUGAAGAAAUAGUAUAUAGAAAAUAUAAACAUCAGAGCUGCAAUCUGAUAGAGAAUGAGGGCAACUAGUGUAAUCUUUUUCUGAGGCCAAACUGUGAUUUUAUGUUUAUGUUAUGGAAAAAGCACUAAUGUCUUAUAACACAUCUCUUAAUGUAUUAAGUUUAGCAUAUUAAAGUCAUUACUAGACAAGAUUGAUGUUCAACACCGACUGCUCAUGCUUUUAAUCUGUAAUUUUACUGGGAAGUCAUGCUCUGCCCAAACAUUUGUUGUUGUUUUUCUCUUGCAGUAGACUUGAAGAUCUGUUUAAAAUCCUCCUUAUUAAAAUGAAUGGAUAUUGAAAUGUUCUGUUCAACAAACUACCAUUGUUUUUGCUAUUUUUAAAACAAAUUUAUAAGUUUCUGAACUAGUUUAGCAAGCAUUCUUUAAAAUGUAGUUAAUUUGCUCAGUUGAGAGCACUAACCUAGUGAAGCAUUUGUGGCGUAUUGCUGAAACAAGGUUUUGUUCAUUAGUUUGGUUUUGAAUAUAAGAAUAAGUACAUUCUCUUAUUUUAAAUAGAAAGCAGGUGGGUGAAUACAUAUUAGACACCUUCCCAGGUGAAAGUAAUUUGCUUCGUCUGCUUCUCUAAGAGAUACCAUAAAAAAACAUAUCCUUAAUAUCAGUUGUAGCCAGAAUUUUGUGAGCUUGCUCCUGAAUGGAAGCUAUUAGUUCAGCCAUGUUUGGUACAGCAGCAGUUAAAGGUCCUGUGUUUGUAUUUAAGUUCUGAAAAUCACCUGCGAGCCUCCAUUUGCUGUUCAGUUUCUGAGCCAGCCACACAGGAGAAUUAUAUGGUGAGUGGGUAGGAACUAAAUUCCCUCAUUUUUAUGAUUAGUAAUGACUGUUGAAAUGCCCUCCUCUAAUCCCGAAGAUAGGGGCCAAUGUUUUAUAUUUACAGUUUUUGAGGGAAGUAGUACUGGGGCUAAUUGUAACAGCUGCAGUGCUGUAGAGAGGGAUCCAGAUUUCUAUUCCCUUCCCCCUAGGCCCAAUCCAAGAUUGUCCUUUCAGCAAAUCUAAUCCUGCAAUAUUAGUAGGCAAAGAGCCCACUACCAUUGUGACUUCUGUUGACUUUGAGUUCCCAUGUAUCCAACACUUAACCGUUGCUGUGUGCAAAGGCCGAGAGUUGCCAAACACCUUUAUAACCUCUGCUUUUUUCUGUCAUGACAUACCUGGCAGUUCACAGCUGCAUCUUCCCUUAGAGCAAAUAUGUGGGCCCCAGUAUCUACCAAGAAUGUUACUAGGACUUCAUUGAGACCUAAUGGGAAGGUGAUCAUCAAGUCCCCUUGGGAAUUUUCAGCAAGCUUUCCUUAAAAACAUCCACUCCCUGUUCCUCAGCUCACUUACAGGGGUUGGUGCAAGCUGUUUCCCAGCUCCCUGCUGGGAUCUUGCACAAUGGUGGGCAAAGUGGCAACUGGAUUGCCCGGAGGGGGAAGGACACUUGGGCUAUCUCCCUGCAGAUGAGAGGUGUUCCACCCAUAGCAUACUUUAAUUGCAAACAAGCAGCCUUCUGUAUACUUUCUGUAAGCUGAUCUAACCCAGGAGUAGCUAUAUCUACUGGGUCUCCUCUGGGUGGAGGGAGGGAGUGACAGCUGACAACCACUGAAGGAGCUCCAAAUACAGUGACUGGAAGUGAGAGUCCUCUUUCCUGCAAUUUGACUUUCCCAUAGAGUAGCUGAAUAGGCUACUCAUAAACCUAGUCCAAGUGGUGAUGAUUUGGCUUAAUGGAUCAAGCUUUUACUACUUCAGCAGGCUAUGGAACAGUGUAAGGAAAAAAAGAAAACAUUUUAAAAUGUGCCAUUAAAGUUAACUGAAAUAUUUAUGCCCUGGUCUUGUGAGUCAGCUGCAUUUUGACAAGAGGUCUGAGAAUAUGAUGAGGACGACGACAGUACAGUAAAUAUGAUUUUCAGCUGAAGAAAGUUUAACACUGCCUCUGUGGGUGAGAGUCAGAAGGAAGAGUGUGUUUUCACUCACCUUUUGAUCCCAAAAGCAAAACAAGGAUUUGUUUCUCAGAGGGUGCCAAACCGAGGACUCAUUAGAGGGCAAAAAGAGAGAUUAAGUGGUAAAAUACACUGGGCAAGACGGGAGGACACAAUGGUGAGCAUAUUUUUAGAAGUCAUAAAUUAUCAUCCUUUGUACACCUCAAUACUCAGCCACAUCAGUGGAGGUGGCCAUGCACUUCUGUUUCCAGGCUGAUGUACAGCUUCACAUCAGGAAAACAAUGGAAAAUUCCUCCAAAACCACGGGCAACCUUCUGCUCUUUCUGCAGAAAUCUUUCCCAAAUUAGACCUUUCCCAUAUCUCCAAAGUGCAUGAAGAUAGCAGCUUUGUAUUUGUUAGUCAUCAGUUGAUACUAAUAGUGGAUGGUGUGAUAAAUCCCUGAUACUUUUGACAUUUUGGUGUCCCAUUGUACUUGUUCUGCAAUCUCUUCUAGUCAUUGCUAGAAGUUUAGGAUUGUCUGUGCUUACUUUAUAAAUAGAGUUUAUAUGUUAUCACUUCAGUUGUUGCAAGCUUCCAAGCCAAGAGUGCAUUUCAGUCCAGCAGAUUUGUCAACCUGUUGAUUCAAGGAAUUUCUACUUGGCUGUAUGGGCAGGUGUGAAUUAAAAUCCCAGCUCCAAAGAUUUUAAAAGUUCUGUAGUAAUUCAGAUGGUGUUUUCCCUUUUGGUCUUGUUUUCUUUCUUUGACUUUUGUUGUUCUCUUAUGUGAGCAACAGGGAGUUUUCAGUUAUUUGUGGAGAUUAGCAUGCUGGGCAAGCUCCUAGUCUUUGUGGAACAGAGGAGCCGUGGGACAGAAUGCUACCAUUUCUGUUUCAUAUGGUACUGCGACUGCAGAGAACUGAAAACCCCCGUUUCUGUUCCCAUCUCAAGCCUCUAAGGGAAAUUGCCCUUCAGCUCUUUGACAGUUGCAAGAAAAAGGAAAACUCUGCUGUCUGUCUGUCAAGACAACAAAUUAUUUAAGUAGAAGAAACAGAGCACUCAGCAGAACUGCUUAGCUAAAGGGAGAGUUCUUCAUGGCCUGAGGUAGUAGUGCUCCUCUUCAUCCCACUGACAGUAGAAUGGUGUGACCUCCUUUUCCUGUCCCCUCUGUUUCAAAAUUACAUUUAACGCAGUGUUACAAGAAAAGGCAUGUUCUUGUUCCUGCUAAUGCCAUCAAGCUGUUAUCUUUAGAAAUAAUGCAAGAUUAUUUGUGGGAUUUCAGAGUGAUGUUAUGAAACCACAGAGUCAGAAAUGCUAUGCCUCCAAAUUUUCUUAAGGUAGAGCAAUAGGAUUUCAGUUAAUUUAUGAGCCUAAGUGUUUGCAGGUGACACUCAAGUAUUUUACUGGGCCAUGGAUGUUAAAUAUUAGGCUUUUACAUUCCUGAGUGUUGUUGUAAACCAAAGUUCUUGUACUCCCUGGGAGCACACUGAAAAUGCACUUAUCUGUUUUGAAAUCCCUUUUCUUUAGAAAUUGUCCUGUGAAUUCCAUGCACCAUAACUCCAUUUUGAAAGAUAAUCUGUGAGAAAGUGAGAAAAUUAACCUUUUCAUCAAGGAGGAGCAGAGGAAGAUCUUGAACUGUCUCAGUCCUACCACUAAUCCCACAUUUAGUAAACUUUUAAGUUUAGAAGUAGUCAUGUUCAUCCAGGUACAGAAACUUUCUUGAUUAAUAUGAGGUAUAUCGCUGAGUAUUGGAGCAUUAAGCACGCAUGAGCAAAGUCUCACUUAAGUGAUCAAAAUACCACCUUAGGAAAAGGCUCUUUUACUAUGUCUUUUCACAUGGCAGCAGCCUCCCUAUGUAUGAGAGUAUCCUGAGCAUUUGUAGUUAAAUGGAGGACUGGAGAGAUCAGCUAUUGGACUGAGGACCCUGACAACUGUGUUUUUGACAACAUAAGAACUGGAUUGUAUUUUGUAUGCUAGGCACUACCAGAAGCCUUUCCUUGAGUGCUUGUUUUUUCCCUCUUUUUGGGUAGGCGCUUUUUCUGGGGCUGCAUUAUGAAGGGUUAUGUAAUAUAUUGUAAAUAUGCCAGAUAUCAGUGAUGAGGCUAGUGCUACUCCCACCAAAACCAGUGGCAAGGCAGUCUACUUCAGCAGAAGAUUGAGGUUCAAAAUUGUUUGAGAGGAGAUGAUUGUUCUUUUUUAUUAUUUUUAUUUUUCUUAUUACUCCCUCCUUUCCCUUUUCAGUGCCAUUACCAUAUGGAUUUAAUCCUGUUCCAUGUCCAUUAGCCACUAAUGCUGCAUUAAUGUGAGCUAGCUUUAUAAGAUCCUCCCUGGUGUAUGGUCCUGGCUCCUAUGGCAUGUAUAACAAAAGCAGCUUGGUUCCCCAUGGCUUCUCUCAUUCAUUCCUAAUGUAUUUACCCACUCUGCCCACUUUUUCUAAUCUGUUUUAUCACUGGCUAUAUUAAUGCUGCCCCUGAAUAAUGACUGGAGUUGGAGAUAUGAAAUACUGAAAAAUUGACUCUGAAAAGACCAGAAGCUGGAAACAGAUGAAAAAGCAUUGCUGAGGGUGGUGUGUUCUUCAGAACUGAAAUCUAGCACUAUUCAUGAUUUUUAAAUGUCCAGUUACCAAAAGGAAGAAAUCCUUUUUUAUUCUCUCCCAGGUUUAUUGCAUUUGUUUUGAUUACUUUUGCAACCUUUUUUCAUUGGACAGUUUUGCUAUACUUUGUAAAUACAGUAGUAAUACUUUAGCUCAAAUACUUUUUUUAAUUUGAUGAAAAUGAAGUAUUUGUUUUCAUUUUAUAUUGGUCUUUGAAAUGCAAUUUAAUAUUUCCAUGGUACUCAUAUUGAAAUUGUCAGAUGUAUGUAUGCAUUGUUGAAAUCAUUGUAGAAUGCUAAAUAAAUUGUUUUUGACAUCUGAGAGCAGCCUAGAAUGACAAAGAAAGAUGACUAUAGGUCUGGAGAGUAAAUGCAAUGACAUGAGGAGUUGCCAAGUAAACUCUGAAAUCCUUUUCAAACAUGAUGAUUUUUGUCCCCAUUUCAUGCCACGCACUCUUACCCUCUGAAAUGAGAUUGCACAUUUUAAGUAGUGUGUGUAAGUGGAUUUGUAAAAUACAGACCUGGUAGCUU
RNAcentral lists this long non-coding RNA (32759 nucleotides) under Gallus gallus (chicken). The record is from RNAcentral. Lineage: Eukaryota; Metazoa; Chordata; Aves; Galliformes; Phasianidae.